AAAAAUGUUGAAUUUUGUCCUUUGGUUAGCUGUAACGGGUUAAUUUAGAAAAAGGGGUGUGGCCAAACAUACCCCAAAGCCUAUAAAACCUAAAGGAAAACUCAAAACUUUAUGAAACUCAGUGAAAUCAUGUAACAGGUGACUCUUAACAAGCAUGCAAAGUUUCAUGGAGAUCAGACCAUAGGUGGCGCUAUAACAGUAGAAAAGGUCUCAAAACACAAGAUUUAUAUGGUAAAUGGCCUCAAAUUGUUUGAAAAUGUUCAUAUAUUCACUCAAAAACACUAAAUCUUCAUAUCAUAUGAUAAAUCUCCUCAUUCUGAACAACUUUGCCUCUGGGACCAAUGUUGUCAAUAAAGCUGUUAAUUAAAUAUUCAAGAUUAUUUAAAAAAGUUACUUUGGCAUACUUGUGAUACGGUUUAAGAUGAAAAUCAAUAAAACCACUGAAGUACAAUUCUCUAGACUCUGAAGGUCAAUAAUUAUCAAAAACAUGUUGAACAAUUGCAUUUGGGCAACUAUAAACCAAUAAUUUUAUAAUAUGUUAUUUGCAUAGUGUACACAAAGGCCUAUUUAUACAAACAGAAAGCCCACAAAUUAUCAAAACUGUGUAAAAUAAUGCAUGAUUUCAUUCUAAACAAGCAUGCAAAAUUUAAGAGAGAUUGGGCAAAAAAAAAUUACAACACUAUAACAGUUAUGUUUUAAAACACAGUGUUGUUUGAGUAAAUGCAAUUUAUAACCACUAGAUGGCAGCGGAAGACCACUAAUGGGCUCAUUCAGUAAAGUUGAACAGUACUGUU
Molecule: long non-coding RNA, 794 nt
Organism: Carassius gibelio (silver crucian carp)
Lineage: Eukaryota; Metazoa; Chordata; Actinopteri; Cypriniformes; Cyprinidae
Exons: 3
Source: RefSeq, a predicted model, not a curated record